RNAcentral lists this transfer RNA (85 nucleotides) under Caudoviricetes sp. RNAcentral describes it as "tRNA-Leu". It matches the Rfam family "tRNA". Rfam says of the family: Transfer RNA (tRNA) molecules are approximately 80 nucleotides in length. Their secondary structure includes four short double-helical elements and three loops (D, anti-codon, and T loops). The record is from RNAcentral. Lineage: Duplodnaviria; Heunggongvirae; Uroviricota; Caudoviricetes.
CUCCCUGUGGUGGAAUUGGCAGACACAGCGGAUUUAAAUCCCGCUGCCGCAUGGCAUCCGGGUUCAAGUCCCGGUGGGGAGACCA